This 275-nucleotide ribosomal RNA is filed under the name uncultured prokaryote. RNAcentral describes it as "partial 16S ribosomal RNA". It matches the Rfam family "Bacterial small subunit ribosomal RNA", at positions 524 to 798 of the family's 1533-position model. The record is from RNAcentral.
CACGUAGGGGGCGAGCGUUGUCCGGAAUUACUGGACGUAAAGGGAGCGUAGGCGGACUUUUAAGUGAGAUGUGAAAUACCCGGGCUCAACUUGGGUGCUGCAUUUCAAACUGGAAGUCUAGAGUGCAGGAGAGGAGAAUGGAAUUCCUAGUGUAGCGGUGAAAUGCGUAGAGAUUAGGAAGAACACCAGUGGCGAAGGCGAUUCUCUGGACUGUAACUGACGCUGAGGCACGAAAGCGUGGGGAGCAAACAGGAUUAGAUACCCCCGUAGUCCCU